RNAcentral lists this ribosomal RNA (253 nucleotides) under uncultured bacterium. RNAcentral describes it as "partial 16S ribosomal RNA". It matches the Rfam family "Bacterial small subunit ribosomal RNA", at positions 524 to 776 of the family's 1533-position model. The record is from RNAcentral.
UACGGAGGGGGCUAGCGUUGUUCGGAAUUACUGGGCGUAAAGCGCACGUAGGCGGCUUUGUAAGUUAGAGGUGAAAGCCCAGGGCUCAACCCUGGAAUUGCCUUUAAGACUGCAUCGCUUGAACAUCGGAGAGGUAAGUGGAAUUCCGAGUGUAGAGGUGAAAUUCGUAGAUAUUCGGAAGAACACCAGUGGCGAAGGCGACUUACUGGACGAUUGUUGACGCUGAGGUGCGAAAGCGUGGGGAGCGAACCGG